UACAGAGGGGGCAAGCGUUGUUCGGAAUUACUGGGCGUAAAGGGCGCGUAGGCGGCCUUCUAAGUCGAACGUGAAAUCCCCGGGCUCAACCCGGGAACUGCGUCCGAUACUGGAAGGCUUGAAUCCGGGAGAGGGAUGUGGAAUUCCUGGUGUAGCGGUGAAAUGCGCAGAUAUCAGGAGGAACACCGGUGGCGAAGGCGGCAUCCUGGACCAAUUCUGACGCUGAGGAGCGAAAGCCAGGGGAGCAAACGGG
Molecule: ribosomal RNA, 253 nt
Filed under: uncultured bacterium
Lineage: Bacteria
Description: partial 16S ribosomal RNA
Rfam family: Bacterial small subunit ribosomal RNA
Source: RNAcentral